GCGUGUAUGUUAAUCUUGUGCAUAUAUUUCACUUUCUGAGGGGGAACUCAUAUUAAGGGGGAGAUUUUUUACAUUAUUCUUCUUGCUUAUGAUAAAAAAGGGGGAGAAGAAUUAUAUUAAGGGAUAAUUAAUAAUUAAGGGGAGAAAUAAUUUUAAAUUGUGUAGGUACUGCUAACUCUGUGGCUGUUUUUUAGUUUGUGUGUGUUGCGGGUAAACCUGAGUUGCUUUUAAAAAGAGAAUUUUUGAUCAUCAUCAAAAAGGGGGAGAUUGUUACCAAUAAGGGAGUAUUGGUAAAACCUGAAUAUAAGUUUUGAUGAUGCUGUAACUUGUAGUUUUUGAAUGUAAUAGGAAAAUAC
This 356-nucleotide long non-coding RNA is filed under the name Vigna radiata. Its description in RNAcentral is "long non-coding RNA (VRAD_LNC014475)". The record is from RNAcentral. Lineage: Eukaryota; Viridiplantae; Streptophyta; Magnoliopsida; Fabales; Fabaceae.